Mesoplodon densirostris (Blainville's beaked whale) is the source of this 256-nucleotide long non-coding RNA. RefSeq lists it as uncharacterized. The transcript is spliced from 3 exons. The record is from RefSeq and is a predicted model, not a curated record. NCBI's taxonomy places the organism in Eukaryota, Metazoa, Chordata, Mammalia, Artiodactyla, Ziphiidae.
ACAAUGAUCAAUGGAGCUAUGUAAACAGCAGACACCGAGAAGGAGCAGGCUGGCCUCCCAUCUGGAGCCUCACAGACACUGAAGACAGCAGCAGCUGGGGGUGUAUUUCGAAGGCGGGGGAUGACUAUCAAGUAUGAGCCAGAUGAGACCUCCAGGGUGACCUGGAAUUACAGAGGCCACUCAUUCUCGGAAUAGGGUUAUGAAAACUGUAAUAUUGUAGAGAUGAAAAGGACCUAUGAAGACCACCUGAUCUGUC